RNAcentral lists this ribosomal RNA (321 nucleotides) under uncultured Actinomycetes bacterium. RNAcentral describes it as "bacterial SSU rRNA". It matches the Rfam family "Bacterial small subunit ribosomal RNA", at positions 28 to 351 of the family's 1533-position model. Lineage: Bacteria; Bacillati; Actinomycetota; Actinomycetes. The record is from RNAcentral.
GAUGAACGCUGGCGGCGUGCUUAACACAUGCAAGUCGAGCGGAAAGCCCCUUCGGGGGAAUUCGAGCGGCGAACGGGUGAGUAACACGUGGGGAACCUGCCCCUCUCACUGGGAUAACUCCGGGAAACCGGAGCUAAUACCGGAUACUCCUUUCGGACCGCAUGGUCUGAUCGGGAAAGCUCCGGCGGAGAGGGAUGGCCCCGCGGCCCAUUAGCUAGUUGGUGAGGUAAUGGCUCACCAAGGCAACGAUGGGUAGCCGAGCUGAGAGGCUGAUCGGCCACACUGGGACUGAGACACGGCCCAGACUCCUACGGGAGGCUG